RNAcentral lists this ribosomal RNA (427 nucleotides) under uncultured beta proteobacterium. RNAcentral's name for it is "bacterial SSU rRNA". It matches the Rfam family "Bacterial small subunit ribosomal RNA", at positions 355 to 774 of the family's 1533-position model. The record is from RNAcentral. Lineage: Bacteria; Pseudomonadati; Pseudomonadota; Betaproteobacteria.
UGGGGAAUUUUGGACAAUGGGCGAAAGCCUGAUCCAGCCAUGCCGCGUGAGUGAAGAAGGCCUUCGGGUUGUAAAGCUCUUUUAGUCGGAAAGAAAGAGUUGCAAUGAAUAAUUGUGAUUUAUGACGGUACCGACAGAAAAAGCACCGGCUAAUUACGUGCCAGCAGCCGCGGUAAUACGUAUGGGGCAAGCGUUAAUCGGAAUUACUGGGCGUAAAGGGUGCGCAGGCGGUCUUGCAAGUCAGAUGUGAAAGCCCCGGGCUUAACCUGGGAAUUGCGUUUGAAACUACAAGGCUAGAGUGCAGCAGAGGGGAGUGGAAUUCCAUGUGUAGCAGUGAAAUGCGUAGAGAUGUGGAAGAACACCGAUGGCGAAGGCAGCUCCCUGGGUUGACACUGACGCUCAUGCACGAAAGCGUGGGGAGCAAACA